GAGAACAGUAGUUCUGAAAAAGGAAGGAGGAUUUCUUCUCUUCUGACCUCUCGGUGAGCAGUCCGCACCCGGCGCUGUUGUCGGAGUGAGGAAUAAUAAUAGCAGCAGCUGUAGCCGGAACAUUUAUUGAGAGAUUGCUGGGUACUGGGCAUCGUUCUAAGUGGGUUUCCUAUCAAUUAGCUCAUUUAAUACUUAGCCAUAUUGUGCCGUCGAUUUUUACUUUCAUACAUGCUUUCCAUACCAGCAACUUCACAGACAGGUGCAGUCACUUGCCCAAGGCCAACACAACUAGUACGCAGCAGAACCUGGUGCCCCACACCCUCGGGCGUCACUCUAGAGUGCGUCCUGGUGCGCACAAAAGUUCGCCCUCCAGUUACCGCUCAGUGGUAGAACCAGGUCUCCUGCUCCAGGCUGGGACUGUCACGUGGCACGGUCAUUCCCCCGGUGCACCUGUGAACCUGGGGCAAGUGGAACGCCGGGGCCCAGAUCGUUUAUGGGAAGUUUGCUGUUACCCACAGAGCAGAGAGCAGGGCCCCGAGCCCCAAGAAACAGAAAACAGACGGAGUGAGUUUAGAGCAGUGGUUCACACGGGCUGCCCACAAGAAUACUCAGGGGGGAGCUGAAGCCAUAUCCCAGGCCAAUUAACCAGAAUCUCUGGGGUGGAGCCCAGGCAUGAAUAUUCUUUAAGCUUCCCCAGGUGAAUUCAGUGUCCAGCCCAGGCAGAUAAUCACUAGUUUGUAGGCUUUCUAGCUUAAUAGAAAUAACCAUAGUUUAAGAUCUGCCUGGCUGAAUCAGUUUCACAAGGUUUUUGCGUAACCUGAGUGUCCAGAGCUGAAAAGCCUGUGGCUGUUUUGAAAACAUUAUAUUAAAUUUUGGUGAAAAUUUCUAACUCUGUAGCCUUCCUUUCUGGAAAAAGAAAAUAAAAUCCUUUUUAAAAUAUCCACCUGGGCUUGAGAUUCGGCUUCACUGUCGCCAAGCUGUGUGAUUUUGUGCCAGUCACUUACCUUCUCUAAGUCUCAAUUUCCUCGUCUGUGGGAAAGGUUCUAAGUCCCUCUUCUUUAUGUGAAGAUCAAAUGAGAUGAUACCUAUAAGACCUCUAGCAUAGAACUGGCACUCAGCUCCAUUCUUACCAUCAAGGAGGAGUCAGGACAGAAGUGGCUUCUGCAGGACCAUCCAGGGAGUCAGUGCCAACGACUCACCAUCCCUAGGCUGAGGCUGUGGAAUGGACUCUGGGAGCCUCAGACCCCAGCCCCUCCCGCCUUGAUCUUCCACCCUCGCGGAGGGGCCUAAGACUUCUGAGUAGGGAGUCCUGGGGUAGGCGCCAUUACCCUCCUUUACGGGAUGAAACUGAGGUGGUGCUGGUGACUGGCAACCAGGAAUUUAACUGAAAUCAGUCAGACUCCAGGAAAAAAGAUAAGAUGAUCUGUGCCCAGCCCUGGAGGGUUGAUACAGGUGAAGAGUGAGAAGAAGUCAGAGCUUCUGGUUGUCAAUCCUGGCUGCCCACUAGAGUCACCCGGGAAGCCUGUAAAGCCCAACAAUCAAGCUACACCUGACACCAAUGCAGUGAAGCUCUUUGGAAGCAGAUGGGGCCCAGGGUUCCGAGGCUUUAAAGCCCCCCUGUGAUUGUGCUGUGUGGCCAGCUGGGGGAGCUCUUGCAGGGAGUCGGCGGAAGGCUUGGAAUGCUCGCUCAUCCCAAACACUUCCUGCAAGUAAGAGCUCCGAGCUCUUCUGAAAUCCUGUGUUUUUUCUCCUUUAGAAUUUGAAGGCAUUCAGACUUCAUCUUCUUUCUAAUCGGUCUUGUUUCUUUACGGGCUUUUCUUUUCCUUCCUAAAGUUUCACCAAAUUCCUCGUUACAGGCUUCCCGCAUCUCCUUUACAUUGUCUUUUUUCUCCACCGCCCCCAUCCCCACACCUCCACCCCCAAUCUCACCUCUCUUUCCUUCCCUCCAUCCUCCACCACUUACGCCAAACAUUUUCCCCCUUGAAUUUGGUCUGGAUCCUCAAGCCUUCUAGAAGAGUGCAUCGUAAAGCCUAAGCACCUCUUCAGGUCUUGUUCGGUCUUCUCCGGCAACGUCUUGUCACUGCUCCGCUGGCCAUGACCCUCACGUCCCCAUGCACUAGUGUCUUCUGGGCUCUGUUGCCUGCCCCUGCAUGCAGCUCCGGAGCAGCCACUGGGACGUCCUCCACGGCAGGUGUGUCUGUACCGGAGGGGGCAGCACUUCCAGGCGGAAGCUGCUGCCGGGAGCCUCCAGAGGUGGAUCUGAGAUGGAAGUAUGCUCAAGGAGGCGUGCCAUUUCUGGAUCCUGAGGCCAACACUUUUUUCUACUUGGACAGCAGCCACUAUUUGACUAUCAGGACUGAAGCUUCAUCAGGACCUAGAGAAGACAGACACUAUAAUUGUUACAGUGCUAUGUGGGAGAGCCCCCACAUUUUACUGCCUCCAGCCUAAUUCAGAGAAAAAGGGAGAAGGGGCAAGAGCUUCCUGUCUUGGCAACAUGGCCGGCAAAACUGCCUGUCAGUCCUACCCUGAACACACAUCAAUCAAGUGAACAGGCUUACAAACCUCUGUAAUAUUAUAAGCCCCAUUAACUCACCGUAACUGUAGCCUGAUUUAAUUAAUUGUUUCCACUCUUGGCAUUAACUUCACUGAAAAUAGCAAAAUGCUGAUUGAAAAAACAAGUGUAUCCCUGUUCUU
This is a long non-coding RNA of Bubalus bubalis (water buffalo), 2694 nucleotides long. RefSeq lists it as uncharacterized. The record is from RefSeq and is a predicted model, not a curated record. The transcript is spliced from 8 exons. Lineage: Eukaryota; Metazoa; Chordata; Mammalia; Artiodactyla; Bovidae.